RNAcentral lists this transfer RNA (76 nucleotides) under Escherichia coli. RNAcentral's name for it is "tRNA-Val". It matches the Rfam family "tRNA". From Rfam's summary of the family: Transfer RNA (tRNA) molecules are approximately 80 nucleotides in length. Their secondary structure includes four short double-helical elements and three loops (D, anti-codon, and T loops). Further hydrogen bonds mediate the characteristic L-shaped molecular structure. tRNAs have two regions of fundamental functional importance: the anti-codon, which is responsible for specific mRNA codon recognition, and the 3' end, to which the tRNAs corresponding amino acid is attached (by aminoacyl-tRNA synthetases). tRNAs cope with the degeneracy of the genetic code in two manners: having more than one tRNA (with a specific anti-codon) for a particular amino acid; and 'wobble' base-pairing, i.e. permitting non-standard base-pairing at the 3rd anti-codon position. Lineage: Bacteria; Pseudomonadati; Pseudomonadota; Gammaproteobacteria; Enterobacterales; Enterobacteriaceae. The record is from RNAcentral. RNAcentral also lists the same sequence under 4 other names.
GAGUGAUUAGCUCAGCUGGGAGAGCACCUCCCUUACAAGGAGGGGGUCGGCGGUUCGAUCCCGUCAUCACCCACCA